UACAGAGGUCCCGAGCGUUGUUCGGAAUUACUGGGCGUAAAGGGUGCGUAGGCGGUCUUAUAAGUCAGUGGUGAAAUCUCUCAGCUUAACUGAGAAACUGCCAUUGAUACUGUAGGACUUGAGUACAGAUGAUGUUGGCGGAAUAUGACAUGUAGCGGUGAAAUGCAUAGAUAUGUCAUAGAACACCGAUUGCGAAGGCAGCUGACAAAACUGUAACUGACGCUGAGGCACGAAAGUGUGGGGAUCAAACAGG
RNAcentral lists this ribosomal RNA (253 nucleotides) under uncultured bacterium. RNAcentral's name for it is "partial 16S ribosomal RNA". It matches the Rfam family "Bacterial small subunit ribosomal RNA", at positions 524 to 776 of the family's 1533-position model. The record is from RNAcentral.